GUGGAUUGAUGAGCUCCUGAGCCAAAGACAUCCCAGGUCUGAGCAAGGCAAGAGCUCCAUCCCUGUUGCGUCAGGCCGAAUGGAAGCCAACACUUGCCAUGAAGUAAGAAAAUUUGUUUCAUGCCAUGGAAUGUUGAUACUAAAUGGAAGGAGGGGAAGAAAAGAGCACACAUCUGCAUGUUGGAAAAGGAGCGGUUAGCUACCUUCUUGCAUGUGCUGGCUCUCUUUGAACACCUCCAUCGCCACCUAAGAGACAAUGUGGAGAGGUGCUUUGUCCACUGCAAUCUGUUCCUGCAUGGGAUGACACUUGGAUGACUGGAGCAUGCUGGAGCCAGGUGAAUGAUGCACAGGGCUUCCCAGGCUUGGAGCUGUUGCCAGCUGUUGGGCUGCUGCUCUUGGAUUCACAGAAUCAUAAUCACAGAAACACAGAAUGGCCAGGGUUGGAAGGGACCUCAAGGAUCAUGAAUCUCCAACCCCCUGCCACAUGCGGGGCCACCAAUCUCCCCAUCUCAUACCAGACCAGGCUGCCCAGGAUUCCUGUACCUGCACCUGCCUGGUUGCUCCUGAGCAGAGAUGUGCCUUGCUCAGGGAGCAGGUGAUGUCAGCUCAAGGCAAAGUACAACAGGGUGGAAACAACAAAAAAUGAGCUGAGAGAAUGUUGUACUCGCACAGGCAGAUCUCUUAACACUCCAGAAUUAGUGACAGGCUGAGACCUAUGCUGUGCAGGAAGGAUGCAGGAAGAGGCCAUCUGUGGAAGCAGUGGGACACUUGUCAUCCCAGCGAGGCAGCAAGACAGAAUCUUCUUCCAGCAAAAGCCAGCAAACAGACGGAGCUUGCUUCCAUCUGCCAACCUCAGUCUGAAUCAAGCAGAAAGAGACAGAAAUCCCAUAGGACAUCUCAUCUUCCUAGAAGCCAACAUAGAGAAAGCAAGCCUCAGUCCUGAGCAGAAGAUAAGGAGCAGAAUGACCUUGCAUCUUCCAUCCAUACACCUGAGGUUAACAGUCAAGGAACCUGAGGCCAGGUGCAAAUCUCAUCUGGAAGCAAACCCUGCUGCUGGAGUGCUGGCACGAGGUGCUGGAAGGAGAAAGUACCACGGUGGCCAUUGUGACUCUCCUCACUGGUCAAGAGCACCUUCUUCCAUGCACAGCCUUCAGGCACUGCUGAUUUAUCUAGGGCUGGGAUCCAGCUGUUGGGCACGUCCACCCCAACCGAGCUGAUGAGCAGCACCAGCCAUGGAUCUUUGGUGGAGGAAUUGGUGUCCAACAGCUGAAAAGGCAGCAAUGCAAACUCCAGUCAGCCAGCAGCUCCCUUGAUCCAGCUGAGCAAAGCUGACAAACUUCAUUUUUAGUCCUCAUCUCAGGACCACAUGCUGAGAAGCACAGGGAAAUUAAUGUCAUUAGUGAGGAGAUGCAGGAGGAGGGCUCUGGCCAGCUGGGCUGGAAGCUCCUGGCUCAAGGUUCAGCUCCAUGGUGGUGCCCAUGGGCAGAGCCCCAUUCAACCUGUGUCCUGAAAGGACAUUCUGCACCUGCCUCCAAAUCAAAGCUACACCUUUGCUCAUAGAGAUGAAGCAGUGCAGUCUUGCAGAGCAUCUCUUUUCCUCUGGAAUAAAGAAUUAUGCACGUAUGAAGUAUUUCUGUAA
Phasianus colchicus (ring-necked pheasant) is the source of this 1639-nucleotide long non-coding RNA. The record is from Ensembl. Lineage: Eukaryota; Metazoa; Chordata; Aves; Galliformes; Phasianidae.